GUGCCCCUACGGGGGGCAGCAGUGGGGAAUAUUGCGCAAUGGGCGAAAGCCUGACGCAGCGACGCCGCGUGAGGGAUGAAGGUCUUCGGAUCGUAAACCUCUGUCAGCAGGGAAGAACGGUCACUGCGCUAAUCAGCAGUGAAUUGACGGUACCUGCAAAGGAAGCACCGGCUAACUCCGUGCCAGCAGCCGCGGUAAUACGGAGGGUGCGAGCGUUAAUCGGAAUUACUGGGCGUAAAGCGCUCGUAGGCGGCAUGUCAAGUCAAGGGAGACAUCCCCGCGCUCAACG
RNAcentral lists this ribosomal RNA (289 nucleotides) under uncultured bacterium. RNAcentral's name for it is "partial 16S ribosomal RNA". It matches the Rfam family "Bacterial small subunit ribosomal RNA", at positions 333 to 614 of the family's 1533-position model. The record is from RNAcentral.